Molecule: long non-coding RNA, 661 nt
Organism: Bos taurus (domestic cattle)
Lineage: Eukaryota; Metazoa; Chordata; Mammalia; Artiodactyla; Bovidae
Source: Ensembl
GGGCAGAGGCUGGAUUCAACCCUAGACAGCCCAAGAGCCCACUCUCUUAGCCAGAGCCUGGAGGGCCUUGUCUCAUCGAGGGUCCCCAUCCCCAGGCCUCCAUCACCCAAUCAUCCGCUGCUGCUGGAUUUGCCCUGAUGUUCAGUGGUCCUUGCUGUGUAACGAGUAUCCCACAUGUAAUGACAUCAAACAAGAACCAUGGGGCGGCUGGGAUCCGAGCAGGACUCUCCUGAGAAGGAACUUGCCAAGAGAACUGAGAAGGAACUAUCCAAGAGAACUGGGCAGAGGCUUGGGCUUGUUGGGACACAGCCUCGGAAUCACACAGCAUUCCUGCUGCCGCAGGAAGAAGCAGGCUUGGAAAGCCAUGCCUGACCUCUAAGGCUAAGAACAAUGCGAAGCCUCUGGACUCAUGGAUUCUUCUAGAAGCUCCUGUGGGCUCAGAAACGAUUUCUCCUCCUCCUUACCUUCUUCCAGUAAGUGAUGCUCCUCUCUCCCGGGCAAGCCCCAGGCCUCAGGGACUUUCUGCUGAUGUCAGAGUCAGUUGGAAGUUUGCUCUGUUCUCAGGCCUCCUGGCUGGGAAUAUUUUUACUUUUUUUUUUUUUUAAUAAUAUAUUAACUUAUGUUAACUUUUUCUCUUUAAAUAAAUGCAAACUUACAGAAG